AUACGUAGGUUGCAAGCGUUGUCCGGAGUUUACUGGGUGUAAAGGGCGUGUAGGCGGAGAUGCAAGUUGGGAGUGAAAUCCAUGGGCUCAACCCAUGAACUGCUCUCAAAACUGUAUCCCUUGAGUAUCGGAGAGGCAAGCGGAAUUCCUAGUGUAGCGGUGAAAUGCGUAGAUAUUAGGAGGAACACCAGUGGCGAAGGCGGCUUGCUGGACGACAACUGACGCUGAGGCGCGAAAGCGUGGGGAGC
This 248-nucleotide ribosomal RNA is filed under the name uncultured bacterium. RNAcentral describes it as "partial 16S ribosomal RNA". It matches the Rfam family "Bacterial small subunit ribosomal RNA", at positions 523 to 769 of the family's 1533-position model. The record is from RNAcentral.